UGGAAUUUCAUGGUUUCGAGGAUUAAAUGCAACAUCCAUAGUAACACCUUCUACUGUGUAGGCACUACAGAUAAAAUUAUAGAUGUCAUACAAUUUUUAAAAGGAGAACAUGAAUAAGACAGCAAGUGUGAGAAUAGAAAAUUAAAACUUAUAUCGAACACCUGGUGCCUUCAUUCGGAUUAUGUGGGGAGAAUGGUUCCAAGACUGUUGUUGUGCUUUUGUAUAGGUUUUGAGGAGGCAAGUCUUGGAGCAUGGUAGUCACAGGGGACAACCUUAAGAUAUUUGUUGGUGUGCCUUCUUCAUGAUUUUGAAGAGGAUUUUCUUGAUUCAUGAUGGCCACAAACAACCACCGUGAAACAAUUGUUGUAGUAUCUUCAUUAAGAUUUUGAAGCAAGGUGGUUGACGAUGAAAAGCUAUGUUACCCCACCUUUAUUGUUUUAUCCAAAUUUUUUCUUCUUUUUUCCUUCCAAAAGUUUUCUUGAAACAUAAAUGAUCAUAGAGAAAAAUACUAAUAGUACUAAUUAAGUUUAGUUAUUUAUAACAAUUUUUCGUUACGUCGUGUCUUACUCUCCUUGAACACAUAUACUGUCAGCACCAAAAUCAAGUCAAUAUAAUGUCAAUAAAAUAAUUUGCAAAUAAAGCCAAUAGUGAGACACAACAGUAGUAUAUGAGUUCAAUUCAAAUAAGAGGAAAGGAAAAUAUCAGUAUUGACAAUCAUUCAACAGUAAUAAUGAUACUUUUGCUAGUAAAUCAUUCAACAGUAAUUAUUU
Molecule: long non-coding RNA, 770 nt
Filed under: Panax ginseng (ginseng)
Lineage: Eukaryota; Viridiplantae; Streptophyta; Magnoliopsida; Apiales; Araliaceae
Description: long non-coding RNA (PGIN_LNC013147)
Source: RNAcentral